Molecule: unclassified non-coding RNA, 513 nt
Filed under: Hevea brasiliensis (rubber tree)
Lineage: Eukaryota; Viridiplantae; Streptophyta; Magnoliopsida; Malpighiales; Euphorbiaceae
Source: RNAcentral
CGAUCCAAAAGCUCAAUUGAAGGAAUUGUAGGCCUUAUAUAAAAGAAACCAGAGUUAUAAACCCAUAUCCUCAUUGUAUGAGCAUAACGAGCCCAACCCAUGGCAGGUUCAUCAAAGACAUCGUUAUAUCCAUAAGCUGUCAUAUUAUUGUGACCAUCGGUCAUAGAUUCAACAUCUGAAUCCCUAUAAAGAUGAUCAAAUGGGUUCUGUAGGUAUACUAUAUCAAUAUCUGAAAGAAGAACGCUGUAGCCCAACUGCAAAAAUUCCCUCAGAAUGCGGAACUUUAAUCCAGAGACAGCAUGGUUGCCUCCUGUUCUUGCAACUGAAUCAAUACCUUUAUCAGGAUCUCUCUUGUAUACAGGAACAUUAUUUGACUUGCAGAAUUCUACAAUAUGGUCAUCUAAUGCUACAACAAGGUAAUUGGGUAUGCCAACUCUCUUGAUAUUAGUGAACCAGACCUCUAACAUGCUUUGCACAUUUGAAUUUGCAAGCGCAACUAUUAGCUCCCUCCCA